Non-coding RNA from Saimiri boliviensis boliviensis (Bolivian squirrel monkey), 687 nucleotides. The record is from RefSeq and is a predicted model, not a curated record. NCBI's taxonomy places the organism in Eukaryota, Metazoa, Chordata, Mammalia, Primates, Cebidae.
GCUGUGACUCAGGAAGACCAGCUCCCCUCACUGUGCUAGGCAUCACUUCCCUGGUCCCUUUCCUUCCAAGGCCCCAGAGAGGAAGGCAUGGGGUGGGCCCUAGCCCUGCUUCUAGCUUUGCUGCCUCCUGCCAGUCAGAUAACUUCCAACUUGGAAGGGAGAAUGAAGUCAGUCACCGGGAGGACUGAGUCAUCUGCUGUAAUCACCUGUGAUCUUCCUGGAGAAAAUACCAGAUACAUCCACUGGUACCUCCACCAGGAGGGGGAGGCCCCACAGCGUCUUCUGUACUAUGAUCUCUACAACUCCAAAAUGGUAUCGGAAUCAGGAAUCAGUCCAGGAAAGUAUGAUACUUAUACAAUCACAAGCAGGAGCUGGAAAUUGAGAGUGCGAAAUCUAAUUGAAAAUGAUUCUGGGGUCUAUUACUGUGCCACCUGGGACACGCACAGUGGUUCAGACCUGCCCUACACCACACUGAAAACCUGCCUUGUGGCUGCUUCUGCUACACAAGAUAGAGCUGCCCCUCUCAUUUUCUGCCACUGAAUUUCCUGUAUCCUGUACAGAGAGAAACACAGCUUCACUCCCGAUCUCCCGCUAAUAUCACACUCCCCUGGCAGCAGCUGCACCUGUUCCCACCCCUCCCCCAGGACUUUCCUGAACACCAAGCUGCCAUGUCCAGGCCUCAGCUAA